AAAAAAAAACACGUGAGUAACCUACCCUUGACUUUGGGAUAACUUCAUGAAACUUGGGCUAAUACCGGAAAGGAUCUCUUGCUGCAUGGUGGGGGUUGGAAAGUUUCGGCGGUUGGGGAUGGACUCGCGGCGUAUCAGCUUGUUGGUGGGGUAGUGUCUUACCAAGCAUUUGACGCGUAGCCGGCCUGGGAGGGUGAGCGGCCACAUUGAGCUUGAGAUAGGACACAGACUCGUACGGAAGGCAGCAGUGGGGAAUAGAGCACAAUGGGCGGAAGCCUAAUGCAGUAACGCCUUUUUUUU
Molecule: ribosomal RNA, 300 nt
Filed under: uncultured bacterium
Lineage: Bacteria
Description: partial 16S ribosomal RNA
Rfam family: Bacterial small subunit ribosomal RNA
Source: RNAcentral